This 446-nucleotide ribosomal RNA is filed under the name uncultured bacterium. RNAcentral's name for it is "partial 16S ribosomal RNA". It matches the Rfam family "Bacterial small subunit ribosomal RNA", at positions 338 to 795 of the family's 1533-position model. The record is from RNAcentral.
CCUACGGGUGGCAGCAGUCGAGAAUCAUUCACAAUGGGGGAAACCCUGAUGGUGCGACGCCGCGUGGGGGAAUGAAGGUCUUCGGAUUGUAAACCCCUGUCAUGUGGGAGAAAAUUAAAAAGAUUGUACCACAAGAGGAAGAGACGGCUAACUCUGUGCCAGCAGCCGCGGUAAUACAGCGGUCUCAAGCGUUGUUCGGAAUCACUGGGCGUAAAGCGUGCGUAGGCUGUUUCGUAAGUCGUGUGUGAAAGGCGCGGGCUCAACCCGAGGACGGCACAUGAUACUGCGAGACUGGAGUGAUGGAGGGGGAACCGGAAUGCUCGGUGUAGCAGUGAAAUGCGUAGAUAUCGAGAGGAACACUCGUGGCGAAGGCGGGUUGCUGGACAGUAACUGACGCUGAGGCACGAAGGCCAGGGGAGCGAAAGGGAUUAGAUACCCCAGUAGUC